UUUUAUCGAAUGUUAACUAAUAACAAAUUGAUGUCUAUAUUAUUAUUCAAUGCAAGUGAUGAUAUAAUUGGUGGCUUAUUUUUCUGGAUGCCCCUGCAUCUUUUACUCUGAGUGAUGUACGAGUAUGUAUUUUUGAGCAUAGAUUUCAAGACGCAAAUAAACAAACGCAAAUGAUGUAUUAAAUAAAGCACAUAAGUAAGUAUCGAUGUACAUAUCUAUAAAUAUAUGUACAUUGGUCGUAAAUCGUGGUGUUGGUAUAA
Molecule: long non-coding RNA, 260 nt
Organism: Drosophila guanche
Lineage: Eukaryota; Metazoa; Arthropoda; Insecta; Diptera; Drosophilidae
Exons: 3
Source: RefSeq, a predicted model, not a curated record